CUCCAGUUCGAGUUGAAAAACAUGCACUGAAAAGAAGCGCAUCCUAUAGCCGCGCCAACUAUUGUUUUAAAAUCGGAAUCUGCACACCCACCUGUUGCCUUCGCAGGUGACACUGCCACUAAGAGGUUUGUCUGAGUCCAGCUUUCACCAUCAGACAUCUGGCAUGUUUCCUUAAUAAUUCUUUCUUAACUGCGCCCUGCGUAUCCCCAAUCCUCAUGCAAACGACGGUGAAAGCGCCGGUGACUCUAGAUGUGUAAGAGGACGCAGCCGUUUAGAGAAAAUAUGUUGUCCGACGUGCCACACCGCUUUCUGGGCACCAGUACCCAGACUACCUGUGUUCCAUUGAAUCGGAAUCCACCAGAUUUUUCCAGAGUUUCUCCAGGGAAAACGCCAUGAUCUUUAUUUUCGAGUGGAGCACAUAACCUUUUUGUGUACACGGUGUCCUCAAACCUUUGGCUGCUGCCAGAAUCCCUGUUUAAACAGUACAAUGGUGAAAAUUGGCUCUCGAGGAGGGUUAGGCUCUCGCUGCCGCACCGUUUGGCAAGCCAUUUCUUCCACUUCUUUAAGACGUGCGCCCGUGAAGGACGCAAAAAGAAUUUCUUCACGGUGGAAUAGUUGUGGAGUUUCGUCAGGGCGACAUCUAUUUGAGAGGGAAUUUUUGCCGCUGGAGCGCAGUCCCAGCGGAGUGGUGGCACACCAGCAACGCAGACCCGGUCAGGCCUUCCCGCCGAUGAGAGGCUGCAGAGGCACUUGGAGCUUUUGGUAGCAUCUGGAAUUUCGUGUUUUCUUUGUUGUGUGAAGCUUCCCGUGUUCCGUUUUUUGUGUUAACAGCCUUUCUGUUGUGUAUACUUCGGGCACAGUUUCAGCGCUCGAUCGUGGCAGCAGUCUCGGCGCUCUCGCAGCUCACGCCUGGGCGCCGUGCCCUUUCCUAUAUUCGACUGUUGUUUUAUGGUGGAAAGAUAUCCCUCCGUUUUUGUCGGGAACUUUUGCCCAGCAGAUGUCUUCAUUUCUCCGUGGCGCGCCUAAUUUUGAAAAGAGAAUGGCUGACAAACGAUCCUUCAGGAAUUCAAAGCUCG
This 1076-nucleotide long non-coding RNA is filed under the name Toxoplasma gondii VEG. Lineage: Eukaryota; Apicomplexa; Conoidasida; Eucoccidiorida; Sarcocystidae. The record is from RNAcentral.